GCGCCGUGCUCUCAAUGCCUGAGACCACUAUCAAAAAGGUCUCCAACUGAUUGUCAAAGAUAACUGUGUGUGAUGUCAAAGCCCCACUAUCCAGCCAGUCGAAGGGGAAUACCAGGAGAUCAUUCUUUUAAUGUGACUGGCUAUGAAUGUUUUGCAGUUAUUCUUAUAAAGUGAAACUUCAAAUGUCAAGUUCUCAUGAAGUUCUACAAUUUGGAAUAUGCCAGAGAAACAUCUGGCCUCUGUAAAGAUGCGUAAAACCACUGUCAUGCAUGAAGUGAAUAAAACGCUUGAGACAUCAGCAUAGCCACUG
Molecule: long non-coding RNA, 310 nt
Organism: Dunckerocampus dactyliophorus (ringed pipefish)
Lineage: Eukaryota; Metazoa; Chordata; Actinopteri; Syngnathiformes; Syngnathidae
Exons: 3
Source: RefSeq, a predicted model, not a curated record